CCCUUAGAUGUUCUGGUCCGCACGCGCGCUACACUGAUGCAUUCAACGAGUUUCUUCCUGGUCCGAGAGGAAUGGGUAACCUUUUGAAAGUGCAUCGUGAUAGGGAUAGACUAUUGCAAUUAUUGGUCUUCAACGAGGAAUUCCUAGUAGACGUAGUUCAUCAGACUGCAUCGAUUACGUCCCUGCCCUUUGUACACACCGCCCGUCGCUCCUACCGAUUGAAUGCUCAGGUGAGCCAUUCGGACCUUCAUCAUGCCGGUUUCCGGUUUUGAUGAGGGAAAGUCUUGCGAACCUUAUCAUUUAGAGGAAGGAGAAGUCGUAACA
Molecule: ribosomal RNA, 324 nt
Filed under: uncultured eukaryote
Lineage: Eukaryota
Description: partial 18S ribosomal RNA
Rfam family: Eukaryotic small subunit ribosomal RNA
Source: RNAcentral